RNAcentral lists this ribosomal RNA (526 nucleotides) under uncultured bacterium. Its description in RNAcentral is "bacterial SSU rRNA". It matches the Rfam family "Bacterial small subunit ribosomal RNA", at positions 384 to 902 of the family's 1533-position model. The record is from RNAcentral.
UGAUCCAGCAUGCCGCGUGUGUGAAGAAGGCCUUCGGGUUGUAAAGCACUUUUAUCAGGAGCGAAAUACUAUCGGUUAAUAACCGGUGGGGCUGACGGUACCUGAGGAAUAAGCACCGGCUAACUUCGUGCCAGCAGCCGCGGUAAUACGAAGGGUGCAAGCGUUAAUCGGAAUUACUGGGCGUAAAGGGUGCGUAGGCGGUUAGUUAAGUCUGUUGUGAAAUCCCCGGGCUCAACCUGGGAAUGGCAAUGGAUACUGGCUAGCUAGAGUGUGUCAGAGGAUGGUGGAAUUCCCGGUGUAGCGGUGAAAUGCGUAGAGAUCGGGAGGAACAUCAGUGGCGAAGGCGGCCAUCUGGGACAACACUGACGCUGAAGCACGAAAGCGUGGGGAGCAAACAGGAUUAGAUACCCUGGUAGUCCACGCCCUAAACGAUGCGAACUGGAUGUUGGUCUCAACUCGGAGAUCAGUGUCGAAGCUAACGCGUUAAGUUCGCCGCCUGGGGAGUACGGUCGCAAGACUGAAACUC